AUCUUUCUAGUAGCAAUAAAAGUAUGAGUGGCUUCCAACCACACGGUCCUGGUUUAAAUCCAGGGGAAGAUA
This 72-nucleotide transfer RNA is filed under the name Bathygadus antrodes. Its description in RNAcentral is "tRNA-Gly". The record is from RNAcentral. Lineage: Eukaryota; Metazoa; Chordata; Actinopteri; Gadiformes; Macrouridae.